This 376-nucleotide unclassified non-coding RNA is filed under the name soil metagenome. Its description in RNAcentral is "partial contains 5.8S ribosomal RNA, internal transcribed spacer 2, and large subunit ribosomal RNA". The stretch from base 1 to 120 matches the Rfam family "5.8S ribosomal RNA", at positions 35 to 154 of the family's 154-position model. The record is from RNAcentral.
GAUGAAGAACGUAGCGAAAUGCGAUAAGUAAUGUGAAUUGCAGAAUUCAGUGAAUCAUCGAAUCUUUGAACGCACCUUGCGCUCCUUGGUAUUCCGAGGAGCAUGCCUGUUUGAGUCUCAUGGAAUUCUCAAGCUUACAGUUUUGUUACUGCAAGGCUUGGACUUGGAGGUCGUGUCGGCUCUCGCGAGUCGACUCCUCUGAAAUGCAUUAGUGCGGACGUUACCGGUCGCUUCAGCGUGAUAAUUAUCUGCGCUGCCGUCGACUGGUAUGUGAAGUACGCGCUUCUAACCGUCCUUCACGGGACAAUACAUUGAAACUCUGAGCUCAAUCAGGUAGGACUACCCGCUGAACUUAAGCAUAUCAAUAAGCGGAGGA